GCCGAUUUAGCUCAGUUGGUAGAGCAACUGAUUCGUAAUCAGGAGGUCGUAGGUUCGAACCCUAUAAUCGGCACCA
RNAcentral lists this transfer RNA (76 nucleotides) under Mycoplasma phocoenae. Its description in RNAcentral is "Mycoplasma sp. Phocoena C-264-GEN tRNA-Thr". It matches the Rfam family "tRNA". Rfam says of the family: Transfer RNA (tRNA) molecules are approximately 80 nucleotides in length. Their secondary structure includes four short double-helical elements and three loops (D, anti-codon, and T loops). The record is from RNAcentral. Lineage: Bacteria; Bacillati; Mycoplasmatota; Mollicutes; Mycoplasmatales; Mycoplasmataceae.